This 890-nucleotide ribosomal RNA is filed under the name uncultured Staphylococcus sp. RNAcentral describes it as "bacterial SSU rRNA". It matches the Rfam family "Bacterial small subunit ribosomal RNA", at positions 44 to 916 of the family's 1533-position model. Lineage: Bacteria; Bacillati; Bacillota; Bacilli; Caryophanales; Staphylococcaceae. The record is from RNAcentral.
GUGCCUAAUACAUGCAAGUCGAGCGAACAGAUAAGGAGCUUGCUCCUUUGACGUUAGCGGCGGACGGGUGAGUAACACGUGGGUAACCUACCUAUAAGACUGGGAUAACUUCGGGAAACCGGAGCUAAUACCGGAUAACAUUUGGAACCGCAUGGUUCUAAAGUGAAAGAUGGUUUUGCUAUCACUUAUAGAUGGACCCGCGCCGUAUUAGCUAGUUGGUAAGGUAAUGGCUACCAAGGCGACGAUACGUAGCCGACCUGAGAGGGUGAUCGGCCACACUGGAACUGAGACACGGUCCAGACUCCUACGGGAGGCAGCAGUAGGGAAUCUUCCGCAAUGGGCGAAAGCCUGACGGAGCAACGCCGCGUGAGUGAUGAGGGUCUUCGGAUCGUAAAACUCUGUUGUUAGGGAAGAACAAAUUUGUUAGUAACUGAACAAGUCUUGACGGUACCUAACCAGAAAGCCACGGCUAACUACGUGCCAGCAGCCGCGGUAAUACGUAGGUGGCAAGCGUUAUCCGGAAUUAUUGGGCGUAAAGCGCGCGUAGGCGGUUUCUUAAGUCUGAUGUGAAAGCCCACGGCUCAACCGUGGAGGGUCAUUGGAAACUGGGAAACUUGAGUGCAGAAGAGGAGAGUGGAAUUCCAUGUGUAGCGGUGAAAUGCGCAGAGAUAUGGAGGAACACCAGUGGCGAAGGCGGCUCUCUGGUCUGUAACUGACGCUGAUGUGCGAAAGCGUGGGGAUCAAACAGGAUUAGAUACCCUGGUAGUCCACGCCGUAAACGAUGAGUGCUAAGUGUUAGGGGGUCUCCGCCCCUUAGUGCUGCAGCUAACGCAUUAAGCACUCCGCCUGGGGAGUACGACCGCAAGGUUGAAACUCAAAUGAAUUGACGG